This 622-nucleotide ribosomal RNA is filed under the name Thaxterogaster montanus. RNAcentral's name for it is "eukaryotic LSU rRNA". It matches the Rfam family "Eukaryotic large subunit ribosomal RNA", at positions 1 to 621 of the family's 3401-position model. The record is from RNAcentral. Lineage: Eukaryota; Fungi; Basidiomycota; Agaricomycetes; Agaricales; Cortinariaceae.
GUGACCUCAAAUCAGGUAGGACUACCCGCUGAACUUAAGCAUAUCAAUAAGCGGAGGAAAAGAAACUAACAAGGAUUCCCCUAGUAACUGCGAGUGAAGCGGGAAAAGCUCAAAUUUAAAAUCUGGCAGUCUUUGGCUGUCCGAGUUGUAAUCUAGAGAAGUGUUAUCCGCGCUGGACCGUGUACAAGUCUCCUGGAAUGGAGCGUCAUAGAGGGUGAGAAUCCCGUCUUUGACACGGACUGCCAGGGCUUUGUGAUGCGCUCUCAAAGAGUCGAGUUGUUUGGGAAUGCAGCUCAAAAUGGGUGGUAAAUUCCAUCUAAAGCUAAAUAUUGGCGAGAGACCGAUAGCGAACAAGUACCGUGAGGGAAAGAUGAAAAGAACUUUGGAAAGAGAGUUAAACAGUACGUGAAAUUGCUGAAAGGGAAACGCUUGAAGUCAGUCGCGUUGGUCAGGGAUCAACCUUGCUUUUGCUGGGUGUACUUCCUGGUUGACGGGUCAGCAUCAAUUUUGAUCAUUGGAAAAAGAUCAGGGGAAUGUGGCAUCCUUGGAUGUGUUAUAGCCCUUGGUUGUAUACAAUGGUUGGGAUUGAGGAGCUCAGCACGCCGCAAGGCCGGGUUUUACC